RNAcentral lists this small nucleolar RNA (94 nucleotides) under Echinops telfairi (small Madagascar hedgehog). RNAcentral's name for it is "Small nucleolar RNA SNORA13 (ENSETEG00000026587.1)". Lineage: Eukaryota; Metazoa; Chordata; Mammalia; Afrosoricida; Tenrecidae. The record is from RNAcentral.
GGUUUUUUUUAAAGGUGCAAAUUAAACACCCUGGCAGCCACAUUCUGCUUUUGAUUUCGGGUUUUUUGGCCUCGGAGCUGCAUAAGGAAAGUUA